RNAcentral lists this ribosomal RNA (253 nucleotides) under uncultured bacterium. RNAcentral's name for it is "partial 16S ribosomal RNA". It matches the Rfam family "Bacterial small subunit ribosomal RNA", at positions 524 to 776 of the family's 1533-position model. The record is from RNAcentral.
CACGUAGGGCGCAAGCGUUGUCCGGAAUUAUUGGGCGUAAAGCGCGCGCAGGCGGUCCUUUAAGUCUGAUGUGAAAGUCCACGGCUCAACCGUGGAGGGUCAUUGGAAACUGGGGGACUUGAGUGCAGAAGAGGAAAGCGGAAUUCCACGUGUAGCGGUGAAAUGCGUAGAGAUGUGGAGGAACACCAGUGGCGAAGGCGGCUUUCUGGUCUGUAACUGACGCUGAGGCGCGAAAGCGUGGGGAGCAAACAGG